UCUUACGGCCACACUGCCUGGUUCACGCCUGAUCUCGUUUGAUCUCGGAAGCUAAGGUAGGUUGGGCCUGGUUAGUACUUGGAUGGGAGACCGCCUGGGAAUACCAGGUGCUGUAAGCU
Molecule: ribosomal RNA, 119 nt
Filed under: Scophthalmus maximus (turbot)
Lineage: Eukaryota; Metazoa; Chordata; Actinopteri; Pleuronectiformes; Scophthalmidae
Source: RNAcentral